GAGGGUAUAGCUUAAGUGGCAGAGUGUAUGCUUAGCAUACACAAAGUCCUGGGUUCAAUCCCCAGUAUUUCCU
Molecule: transfer RNA, 73 nt
Filed under: Camelus bactrianus (Bactrian camel)
Lineage: Eukaryota; Metazoa; Chordata; Mammalia; Artiodactyla; Camelidae
Also listed under: 2 other names
Rfam family: tRNA
About the family: Transfer RNA (tRNA) molecules are approximately 80 nucleotides in length. Their secondary structure includes four short double-helical elements and three loops (D, anti-codon, and T loops).
Source: Rfam by way of RNAcentral